UGAACUUGCCGUGAGGACACACAGACUUGC
Molecule: non-coding RNA, 30 nt
Filed under: Homo sapiens (human)
Lineage: Eukaryota; Metazoa; Chordata; Mammalia; Primates; Hominidae
Source: RNAcentral